RNAcentral lists this ribosomal RNA (919 nucleotides) under uncultured archaeon. Its description in RNAcentral is "bacterial SSU rRNA". It matches the Rfam family "Archaeal small subunit ribosomal RNA", at positions 1 to 922 of the family's 1478-position model. The record is from RNAcentral.
UUCCGGUUGAUCCUGCCGGAGGCCAUUGCUAUCGGAGUCCGAUUUAGCCAUGCUAGUCGCACGGGUUUAGACCCGUGGCGGAAAGCUCAGUAACACGUGGUCGAACUGCCCUAUGGACCAGGAUAACCUCGGGAAACUGAGGCUAAUCCUGGAUACAGCUCUCAGGCUUGAAUGCGGAGAGCUGGAAACGUUCCGGCGCCAUAGGAUGUGACUGCGGCCGAUUAGGUAGACGGUGGGGUAACGGCCCACCGUGCCGAUAAUCGGUACGGGUUGUGAGAGCAAGAGCCCGGAGACGGUAUCUGAGACAAGAUACCGGGCCCUACGGGGCGCAGCAGGCGCGAAACCUUUACACUGCACGACAGUGCGAUAGGGGGACUCCGAGUGCGAGGGCAUAUAGUCCUCGCUUUUCUGGAUCGUAAGGAGAUCCAGGAACAAGUGCUGGGCAAGACCGGUGCCAGCCGCCGCGGUAAUACCGGCAGCACGAGUGAUGGCCGCUAUUAUUGGGCCUAAAGCGUCCGUAGCCGGCCAGUCAAGUCCGUUGGGAAAUCGGCGCGCCUAACGCGUCGGCGUCCAGCGGAAACUGACUGGCUUGGGGCCGGAAGACCUGAGGGGUACGUCCGGGGUAGGAGUGAAAUCCCGUAAUCCUGGACGGACCACCGGUGGCGAAAGCGCCUCAGGAAGACGGACCCGACGGUGAGGGACGAAAGCUAGGGUCUCGAACCGGAUUAGAUACCCGGGUAGUCCUAGCUGUAAACGAUGCUCGCUAGGUGUGGCGCAGGCUACAAGCCUGCGCUGUGCCGUAGGGAAGCCGUGAAGCGAGCCGCCUGGGAAGUACGUCUGCAAGGAUGAAACUUAAAGGAAUUGGCGGGGGAGCACUACAACCGGAGGAGCCUGCGGUUUAAUUGGAGUCAACGCCGGG